Molecule: long non-coding RNA, 1101 nt
Organism: Capsicum annuum
Lineage: Eukaryota; Viridiplantae; Streptophyta; Magnoliopsida; Solanales; Solanaceae
Exons: 2
Source: RefSeq, a predicted model, not a curated record
UUAUAACUACAAAAUAAAUAAUUUUAAAGUAUGAUUGACAAAGAAUCAAAAAAUAAUAACGUGAUCGAGAUCAUAAAGUCCAAACGAUCACUUAUCUUUAGACAUGUGAAACGCUUCUCAUCAUUGCCUUUCACAAAUCGUUUUUAUGUGUAGUGGUUGAAUCAAAAUUUUAUUUUAAAAAAUAAAAGACGAAAUACAUAUACAAGCCACUAAACUAUUUCACUCUUCUCGUAUAGGUACCUCAAUUAAGACAGGUACCUAUUAAAUUCUUUACUCCUUCACAAAUGGUUUCAAUUGAGCCCAAUUAUCUGACGUGGCACUUUGCGUGUACUCACGUCUGGGAGGCGCGUGAAAUGUCAAUGGACCAGCUUUUAUGACACCCAAUGGAUCUUUUAUCCUCUUUUAUACCCAAUUUCUUUCAAAAAAAUACUAAUUCCCUCUUUCUUCCUCUUUUUAUACCCAAUUCUUAAUAUCCAUCAUUUUUGUCACCUAAAUUCUCCUUCUCCUCUUAAAUUUCUUUUCUGCCUUUUUUCUUGCUCCGCUUAAACUCUCAUACUCUUAUUAAUUUUUUCUUCUUACUCAUUUUUAGUAGUAAUGUUCAAUUUAUCUUUUUCAUUGUCUUUAUCUUCUUCAAUUUCAAAACAAGUAUGUUUAUGUGGGGUGAAAGUUGAAAUUAAGACCUCGUAGACAAAACUAAACACUGGUGGGAGAUUCUUUUGCUGCAAAACUUCAAAGGUGAGAGAUGGAUGCAAUUACUUCGAUUAUUAUGAUGAUGAAAUGCCUCCUCAAAGCAAAGAGGGUGAUGUGGAAUUUAUUGAAAAAAGUCAAAUCAUUUGAAGAAGAGAAGAAUAGAUCAAGAAAAUUUAAAGUGAUAUGCUUUGGGGCAAUAGUGAUUUUGGCUUCAUGGAAUUUCUUCAAGAAAUGUUCUUAGUUUUGGCCAAUAUUGGCUUAGGUUUCUUAUAUAUGGGACUAUUUUGAUUUGGAUAAUUCUGAAAUAUAUUAUUUGUAUGGGACUGUUUUGCUUUGGCUUUCCUGUUGUAGUGGGAUUGUUGUGUAUGAAACAAUUUAGAAGGAAUGAAUAUAAGUUGUGAAAUGUUACUC